This 1331-nucleotide long non-coding RNA is filed under the name Piliocolobus tephrosceles (Ugandan red Colobus). RNAcentral's name for it is "lncRNA (ENSPTEG00000010815.1)". The record is from RNAcentral. Lineage: Eukaryota; Metazoa; Chordata; Mammalia; Primates; Cercopithecidae.
UAUAGAUGAUAUUAAUAAUAAAAACAGCUUUAUUAGUAAGGAUUAUUUAUAUAGUGGCCUAACUAAUGAUGAUGUUAUUCUAGAAUUGGAUAAUGAAGACAAUGCUUCCAUCACUCAUGAUGAAAAAUUAAAAGAUAAUCGUAUCAAUUUCAAUAAACAAAUAUUCAGCAAUAUUAAAUAUGUAUCACACAAAAUACAUGAAAAUAUAAAUGACAAUAUUUAUACCACUAUACAAAAUGGUGAACAUAGCAUAGAGCAUGAAAAUUCACAUAAACCAUUUAACAAUAAUGUGCAUAUACAUAGUAAUAGAAAUUCUUUUAUAAAUGCUAAUAACAAUUUUAAUACGAAUAAUAAAGAACAAACAAUGGAAAAAGGCAACAGCAACGUGCUAACAAGAAGCAAUUCAUUGAAAAGUGAUAUGUGUUAUCAAAAUAAUGAUGAUAUGCAUAUUUAUAAGAGCCACACAACCAAUCAUAACAACUACGGUAAGGUAGGUAAUAAUAUGAUAUAUAAUAACAACAAUCAUAAUAGAUUUAUGAAUGUAGACAAUAGAAAUCUAAAUUAUCGAAGUGGUUAUAGCAUAAAUAAUAAAAACGGUCAUAACUUAGAUAGUUGCCUUAACAUGGCUUACAGAAAUAGCACAAAUAAUUAUACACAUUAUAACAAUAUUAAAAAGUCGAAAUGGCCACAAAAUUCAGAACAGCCAAAACAUAGUAACACACAAUCGUUUUAUGAUAUGAUUGAAUUAACAAAUUAUACUAAAAAUUAUAGAAAUUUUGUAAGGGCACCUGUAAUAAAAUUAUUUUUUGGAAAUUUGGCACCUAUAACUACAGAAAAGGAUAUGCACAAUUUAUUUAGUACUUUUGGAAAAUGUGAUUCAUUGAUUAUUUUAAAAGAUAGGAAAUAUAAAUCAAGAGGUUCAGGUUUUGUUACAUUUUAUAACAUAGAUGAUGCUGUAAAUGCAAUAAAAACUUUAAAUAACAAAAUAAUUCUAUCAGGCGCACAUAAACCAUUAGAAGUUCGAUUUCCUGAAAACAGAGUAGAAAAAAGAUUAAGAACGAAACUGUUACAUGUAGCCAAAUGGAACGGAGCUAAAAUUGCUCCAAGUGGUUGUUUACUUACAAAAACAGAAGAUAUAUUAAAUAAAAAAACGGAAAUUAUAAAGAAUCCAAAUACUUCUACAUCUACUUCUACUUCUACUUCCAACCCAAAAAAUUCUUCUUAUUUUUGUUCUAAUUAUACUAAUACUUGUUAUGAUAACAAAGAAAACGCUUACUUCGACUUUUUAUGUGAUAACAAUAUAAGGAAUUCUAUUGCUGAUCAAUUAGAUU